AGUGAACGCUGGCGGUAGGCCUAACACAUGCAAGUCGAACGGCAGCACAGUAAGAGCUUGCUCUUACGGGUGGCGAGUGGCGGACGGGUGAGGAAUACAUCGGAAUCUACUUUUUCGUGGGGGAUAACGUAGGGAAACUUACGCUAAUACCGCAUACGACCUACGGGUGAAAGCAGGUGAUCUUCGGACCUUGCGCGAUUGAAUUAGCCGAUGUCGGAUUAGCUAGUUGGCGGGGUAACGGCCCACCAAGGCGACGAUCCGUAGCUGGUCUGAGAGGAUGAUCAGCCACACUGGAACCGAGACACGGUCCAGACUCCUACGGGAGGCAGCAGUGGGGAAUAUUGGACAAUGGGCGCAAGCCUGAUCCAGCCAUACCGCGUGGGUGAAGAAGGCCUUCGGGUUGUAAAGCCCUUUUGUUGGGAAAGAAAAGCAGCAGGUUAAUACCCCGCUGUUCUGACGGUACCCAAAGAAUAAGCACCGGCUAACUUCGUG
This 492-nucleotide ribosomal RNA is filed under the name uncultured bacterium. RNAcentral describes it as "partial 16S ribosomal RNA". It matches the Rfam family "Bacterial small subunit ribosomal RNA", at positions 29 to 507 of the family's 1533-position model. The record is from RNAcentral.